Molecule: ribosomal RNA, 1472 nt
Filed under: metagenome
Description: bacterial SSU rRNA
Rfam family: Bacterial small subunit ribosomal RNA
Source: RNAcentral
AGAGUUUGAUCCUGGCUCAGGACGAACGCUGGCGGCGUGCCUAACACAUGCAAGUCGAACGGGGUGAGACCCUUCGGGACCUUUACCUAGUGGCGAACGGGUGAGUAACGCGUGAGGAACCUGCCUUUCAGUGGGGGACAACAGUUGGAAACGACUGCUAAUACCGCAUGAAGCUUUUGGGAGACAUCUCCUGGAAGCCAAAGCUUAAUGUGCUGAAAGAUGGCCUCGCGUCUGAUUAGCUAGUUGGUGGGGUAACGGCCCACCAAGGCGACGAUCAGUAGCCGGUCUGAGGAUGAACGGCCACAUUGGGACUGAGAUACGGCCCAGACUCCUACGGGAGGCAGCAGUGGGGAAUAUUGGGCAAUGGGCGAAAGCCUGACCCAGCAACGCCGCGUGAAGGAAGAAGGCCUUCGGGUUGUAAACUUCUUUUACCAGGGACGAAGGACGUGACGGUACCUGGAGAAAAAGCAACGGCUAACUACGCGCCAGCAGCCGCGGUAAUACGUAGGUUGCAAGCGUUGUCCGGAUUUACUGGGUGUAAAGGGCGUGUAGGCGGAGAUGCAAGUUAGGAGUGAAAUCUAUGGGCUCAACCCAUAAACUACCUCUAAAACUGUAUCCCUUGAGUAUCGGAGAGGCAAGCGGAAUUCCUAGUGUAGCGGUGAAAUGCGUAGAUAUUAGGAGGAACACCAGUGGCGAAGGCGGCUUGCUGGACGACAACUGACGCUGAGGCGCGAAAGCGUGGGGAGCAAACAGGAUUAGAUACCCUGGUAGUCCACGCUGUAAACGAUGAAUACUAGGUGUGGGGGGACUGACCCCCUCCGUGCCGCAGUUAACACAAUAAGUAUUCCACCUGGGGAGUACGACCGCAAGGUUGAAACUCAAAGGAAUUGACGGGGGCCCGCACAAGCAGUGGAUUAUGUGGUUUAAUUCGACGCAACGCGAAGAACCUUACCAGGACUUGACAUCCAACUAACGAAGUAGAGAUACAUCAGGUGCCCUUCGGGGAAAGUUGAGACAGGUGGUGCAUGGUUGUCGUCAGCUCGUGUCGUGAGAUGUUGGGUUAAGUCCCGCAACGAGCGCAACCCCUAUUGUUAGUUGCUACGAAAGAGCACUCUAGCGAGACUGCCGUUGACAAAACGGAGGAAGGCGGGGACGACGUCAAAUCAUCAUGCCCCUUAUGUCCUGGGCUACACACGUAAUACAAUGGUGGCCAACAGAGGGAAGCGAAGCCGUGAGGCGGAGCAAAUCCCUAAAAGCCAUCUCAGUUCGGAUUGCAGGCUGCAACUCGCCUGCAUGAAGCUGGAAUUGCUAGUAAUCGCGGAUCAGCAUGCCGCGGUGAAUACGUUCCCGGGCCUUGUACACACCGCCCGUCACACCAUGAGAGUCGGGAACACCCGAAGUCCGUAGUCUAACCGCAAGGGGGGCGCGGCCGAAGGUGGGUCCGGUAAUUGGGGUGAAGUCGUAACAAGGUA